RNAcentral lists this non-coding RNA (170 nucleotides) under bovine gut metagenome. Its description in RNAcentral is "Lysine riboswitch". It matches the Rfam family "Lysine riboswitch aptamer". Rfam says of the family: Riboswitches are metabolite binding domains within certain messenger RNAs that serve as precision sensors for their corresponding targets. Allosteric rearrangement of mRNA structure is mediated by ligand binding, and this results in modulation of gene expression. This family includes riboswitches that sense lysine in a number of genes involved in lysine metabolism, including lysC. The record is from RNAcentral.
UCGAUAGAGGCGCGGGGUUCAUCAGUAACGCCGUCGAGCCCGUCCAGGGGCCGCGACGCGGCGGGAAAGGGAAUGCCGCCGAAGCCCGCAGGUUGGAGCCCUGUCGGGUUGGGGGAUCGCAGAACAUGCGGUUCACUGUCAUGGCCGUUGGCGGCUGUGGAGCGCUAUCU